AAAACAGUUAUUAGAGUUAUAGCCUCCAGACGAUAGGUGUCAGUAUAACGAUGCAACCCCCUAUGUUGAAGCGUGCCAUCAGUAGAAGAAGUGAGGUAUUUCCUCUUGGGUUUUGGUGUGGUUGAUGGGCUAAAUGAAACCGACUAGAUAAAACAACGACAGCAAAGGUGCUCCAGAGGGCUCGACACUAGCAGUGAAGAUUUCCAUACCUAGCCUGAUGAUGGAGAGGGGAAAGUCAAAACUGCAAAAUAUCCUGGAGGAUGGCCUGGGCAGAGAUUUAAUGAACGCUGGGCGGUUUUGCUUCAGCUGUGAGCAGAUAUUUGCAAAUCGAAAAUGCCUGGAGGAACACUUUUGUUCUGCUGCAAGUCAUAUUUGCUCCUGUGGCACAGAGUUUGCUGAAUACAAAGAAAUGCUGGACCACAGCACAACACAUGAGCCAGGUUACCAAGUUCUUGAUCAUGGAACAAUAAAGAAACGCAGAAUUGAGAAACGCAUAGCAGAGGAGCAGCAGCUGAAAAGAAUACAGACUGGUGAGGUUGUCUGGAACGCACCUUCACUAAACAAUGUGCCAUCCAUUUCUCAUCCGGGGACACCUUCGCAGAAAGUACCCAUGACAUCAGCACUAAUGCCACAAGUUCCCACACAGUCUGCACAGAUUUCACAAGCGCCUCCAUUGUACAGCUCUCUGUCACAAACACCUGUUCUCAUUAAACCCAGUGAGAAAGACGUGCAAAACAUUUUUGCAGGUGUAGGUGCACCAACUGUAGAUCUUUGGACACUUUACCAACCUGUUGUGUUGUUGCAAACACUGCGCAAAUUCAACAAGACAAAUCCUUACACAUGCUCUAAAUGUGGGCAAUGUUUUGAGAGAACGACAUCUCUCAUCUCCCACCACAGCUCUCAUGUCACAGAUAAAAUCUCUGGCUGUAUUGGAUGCGGGCUGCUGCUCUCCAGCAAGAAAGUAGUGCCUCGCUUUCACGUUUGUAAGGCACCCAACACUGCCACCAAAUUCAGACUCAUCACUGCAACACCGUUGAAUUUUAUGAAGCCAACCGCUGCCAGUACAGGCAGUACUCCAAGUCUUGAGGGGCCUUGGGCCACUUCUUCUCGACAGCUGAAAAGUCAAAAUCCCAUUGCAGCAAGGAAAUGCAGUCAAACUCCUGCUGUGAUUUCCCCCGUGCAGCUGAAAAAACAGAAAAUCAGUGCACACAUUAAAAGCAAUCGGGGGCUUAAUGUCUCGCCGCACCUGGUACCAAAGGGUCCCAGCUCCUUCAGUCCUUUUAUCACUUCCCCUUUACUAUUGAAGACUCCUAAUCCCAGUGCAUACAAAAACAGCAAACGAGGGCUUACUGUCUCUCAGUUGCUGCAGCUGAAGAUGCCCACACAAUCUGCUUCAGGUGUAUCAAGCAAUCCAAUGCAAACAUCCUCAGCAUCAAAUGGUUUUGCAUGUAGAGUCUGUCAUCUUCCCUUUGAUUCGGCUCAUCUGCUACAGAGGCACAAGUGUGCCAAAGCAAAGGAGUUUAUGGCACAGCAUGUGCGAGGUGGAAAACAUUUCAGACUAAAGAGAGUGACGCACCCAAUUCCUCUUUUGAUGAAAGGAGAGCGAAAACUUGGGGUUCCAGCUUAUGGUAACCUAAAGACCAACCAAGUCAUGCCUGGUAUUCCAAACAAAGAGCAAGGGGCAGCUCCAGUGGGUGGGAAAACAGGAGGCGAUAUGGACGAUGAUUGUUUCAUUGUUGAAAGUGGACCAGACAAACCUGCUGAGAUGAUAUAUCAAGUAACCUCAUCCGUUCCUAUCACGAGUUGACAAAAUUAGAACUGUAACCCCAAUUUGCAUGUCACAUUUAUGGACCAAGUGCUUAAAGUAAGUUCUUUUUAAAACAAAAUUUAAUUUUUGAAGUCAACUGCACAGGAACAGUAUUCGUUCUGGUUUUCUCCACAAUAAUUUAAAGGAAUGUAAGGUGACAACAUUCAUGUAUCUUAUUAAAACUGGGUUUAUUUUGCCUGGACUGUAAACAAUCAGUGCCCCUGAAAUUGUAAUAGAAAUUGUUUGUCAUACUAUUCUGAAAAUGUAGGACCAUGGCUUACCCAGGUUUGGUGGGAUAACCAGGAUCUCUAUUAGUUUUUUUUUUUUAUAUAUAUUUUUUGUAUGAUAAACGUAUUGUGAGGCUGUGGGAAUUGAACGCAAUAAGAGGAAGUAUGUGUUCCUACCAACUUUGUCAGACUUUGAAAGGUAUAUGUUGUAUUAAAGUGUAUUUUCCAACUGAGUGUUUUCAUCAUAGGCUAUUGCAGCAUGUAAUAAUAUCGAUGUUAUUCACAUGAAAAAUGAACUGAAUGUACAGAGAUUUUUACUGUCUGACUAAUGGAAACACUACAACAGUGCAAAUAAUUCAAUUGAUGGCAGUAUGUAAUAUGUAAUACUAAACAAGUGUGUGCAAUUUAUUGUGCCUGAUAAGAACCUUAAGAUCAAGUACAACAUUGACAGAGCAUCAUUAAAAUAAGUCAUAAUCAAUCUUUAAAUGAAGAUAUAUAAAUUAAAAUCAUAAAAAUGGUUGGCAACAAGG
This is a long non-coding RNA of Eleginops maclovinus (Patagonian blennie), 2564 nucleotides long. RefSeq lists it as uncharacterized. The record is from RefSeq and is a predicted model, not a curated record. The transcript has 2 exons. Lineage: Eukaryota; Metazoa; Chordata; Actinopteri; Perciformes; Eleginopidae.